This is a long non-coding RNA of Herpailurus yagouaroundi (jaguarundi), 496 nucleotides long. RefSeq lists it as uncharacterized. NCBI's taxonomy places the organism in Eukaryota, Metazoa, Chordata, Mammalia, Carnivora, Felidae. The record is from RefSeq and is a predicted model, not a curated record. The transcript is spliced from 3 exons.
AGAGCCACAAGACUAUUCCUGAUCCUGGAGAUAGAAUGAUACAGCCUAGAGAAUGGAUCUUCUCUCAUUACAGCUGAAUUCCUGGAAAAUGGCCCUGAUCUUCCACUUUGAAGGACUCACCCCCAAAACACAGAGCAGAGCUUUCUGGAAUUCCUAUUGUGUGGAUUUGUGCUGAGAGAAAUCAUCUGAGAGACGUCUGGAGUGCAAUGAAAGCAAUGACAAUGUUUUCUCGAUUGUUUAUGCAUAGCUCAAUCCACAUUAUUUCUGGAAGAAAAGAAAAAAGAAAAAAAAAAGAAUAAAGAAAAAGAAAACAAUGCAUUUCCCUUCAAUCCACAUGGAUUUAAAACUAGAGAUGUAAUUUAAAAAAACAGAAGCAAAAAACAAAAAACAAAACCAGAAACUGGUCUUUCCAACUAAUAAAAAAGGAACUCAGUGCUGUGCUCACAGCAAAGUCGUGGAAGAUAAUUUGAAACUUCAGUUAGCUUCCUGUAGAGAA